GACGAACCGAGCGAACGUUAUUCGGAAUCACUGGGCUUAAAGGGCGCGUAGGCGGGCGGCCAAGUCAGGGGUGAAAGCCCCCAGCUCAACUGGGGAAGUGCCUCUGAUACUGGUCAUCUCGAGGGAGAUAGGGGCGUGCGGAACUUCCGGUGGAGCGGUGAAAUGCGUAGAUAUCGGAAGGAACGCCGGUGGCGAAAGCGCGCUGCUGGACCUCUUCUGACGCUGAGGCGCGAAAGCCAGGGGAGCAAACGGG
RNAcentral lists this ribosomal RNA (253 nucleotides) under uncultured bacterium. Its description in RNAcentral is "partial 16S ribosomal RNA". It matches the Rfam family "Bacterial small subunit ribosomal RNA", at positions 524 to 776 of the family's 1533-position model. The record is from RNAcentral.